Molecule: long non-coding RNA, 895 nt
Filed under: Homo sapiens (human)
Lineage: Eukaryota; Metazoa; Chordata; Mammalia; Primates; Hominidae
Description: HSALNT0063273
Source: RNAcentral
GUAAGGACCUUGUUAAAACGCAGUUUCUGACUCAGUAGUGUGAAUGGGGCCAGAAUGCUGCAUUUCUAACACUCUCCCAGAUGGUGCCAAUGUUCCUCAUCCACAGACCACAGCUGAAGUAGCAACUAUGUAAACCUCAGGCUACUCAUCACAGUGCAGAGUGAUUUCACCUAAAGGCACAACAGCAGCUGAUUGCCACAAUACAAACAAGAGCCGCCACUUACUGACAGCAGCUACGUGCCAGGUAAGUCAAAUGAGGAAGAACACCUUCAGUGUGGGGGAGAAAUGGGUCUUCAACGUCAUCUUAGACCAGUGGCUCUCAAAGUAUAUAACAGCAGCGUCAACAUCAGCAUUAUCUGGGAACGUGUUGGAGAUGUGAAUUCUUGGGUUCCACUUCAGACAACGAAUCAGAAAUUCUGGGGUAUGUGAGAAGAAACAUAAAGAAAAAUACCUGUGCUUGUGAAAGAAAGAGGCAAAGAAAAUAUUUUGAAGUGAGAAGCCCACAAGAAGGACCAUUGUAUCUGCUAGUCCUUCUGCUGAAAAGGCCCAUUGCCCAGCCUCUUCUCAGGUCUCAGUUCAAAGAAGGAAAGCCUCAAAGAAGCCUUCCUUGAUCAUCCUGCUCUCUAUCUCAGCCACCUCCACAGCUCUUACCAAACUCCAUAUCUACUGUGUCUUGUUAUUUGUUAUCCCUCUGUCCCACUGGUUAUAAACUCUAUUAUAGCUGUCUGCAUUGUUUAUCACUGUGUCCCCACUACUUAGGAACAGUCCUUGGAACAAAACUGAUGAUAAAAAAUAAAGUGUUCAAUGAAUGAAUAAAUAUUUGAUUUUCUAUGCUUUUGGAGAGUAAUUUGUGGCUCCAGUUCUGAGAUUAUUUUUUAUCUUUAUCUAACUUAAG